This 253-nucleotide ribosomal RNA is filed under the name uncultured bacterium. RNAcentral describes it as "partial 16S ribosomal RNA". It matches the Rfam family "Bacterial small subunit ribosomal RNA", at positions 524 to 776 of the family's 1533-position model. The record is from RNAcentral.
UACGGAGGGGGCUAGCGUUGUUCGGAAUUACUGGGCGUAAAGCGCACGUAGGCGGACCAGAAAGUUGGGGGUGAAAUCCCGGGGCUCAACCUCGGAACUGCCUUUGAUACUGGGUGUCUAGAGUUCGAGAGAGGUGAGUGGAAUUCCGAGUGUAGAGGUGAAAUUCGUAGAUAUUCGGAGGAACACCAGUGGCGAAGGCGGCUCACUGGCUCGAUACUGACGCUGAGGUGCGAAAGCGUGGGGAGCAAACAGG